AACGAACGCUGGCGGCAGGCUUAACACAUGCAAGUCGAACGCCCCGCAAGGGGAGUGGCAGACGGGUGAGUAACGCGUGGGAACAUACCCUUUUCUACGGAAUAGCUCUGGGAAACUGGAAUUAAUACCGUAUACGCCCUACGGGGGAAAGAUUUAUCGGGGAAGGAUUGGCCCGCGUUGGAUUAGCUAGUUGGUGGGGUAAAGGCCUACCAAGGCGACGAUCCAUAGCUGGUCUGAGAGGAUGAUCAGCCACAUUGGGACUGAGAGACGGCCCAAACUCCUACGGGAGGCAGCAGUGGGGAAUAUUGGACAAUGGGCGCAAGCCUGAUCCAGCCAUGCCGCGUGAGUGAUGAAGGCCUUAGGGUUGUAAAGCUCUUUCACCGAUGAAGAUAAUGACGGUAGUCGGAGAAGAAGCCCCGGCUAACUUCGUG
RNAcentral lists this ribosomal RNA (431 nucleotides) under uncultured bacterium. RNAcentral describes it as "partial 16S ribosomal RNA". It matches the Rfam family "Bacterial small subunit ribosomal RNA", at positions 29 to 507 of the family's 1533-position model. The record is from RNAcentral.